Long non-coding RNA from Tribolium castaneum (red flour beetle), 1713 nucleotides. RefSeq lists it as uncharacterized. The record is from RefSeq and is a predicted model, not a curated record. NCBI's taxonomy places the organism in Eukaryota, Metazoa, Arthropoda, Insecta, Coleoptera, Tenebrionidae. The transcript has 2 exons.
UAAAAUUUUUUAUCAUGUUGUUUUAUUAGAAUUACUUAAACAAUUUUGAGUCGAUUGCAACAAAAUCUUGCUCAGAAAUAGAUAAUUACUAAGUCAUUAGCAAUAGUGUAAUGUACCCAUUAUAAAUAUCCCUUUAACGUUAUAAUUAUCAUUAUCAUUAGUAAACAUCUUUCAUUAUCAUUAGCAAACGUCUUAAAUUUAAUUUGUAUCAUCUACAUCCGGCAUGUUCAACUUUGUACCUAAUUACUUUACUAUCUCGAGUCCACUUUUAUUUGUACAUUCUUCCGCUUAUCGCCUUUCAUCCCUCUAUAUAUAAGAAAUCAUUUUUAUGUUAUAGGGCAGUCAGAAUAAGUUAGUUGUUACUGUACGACCUAAUGUCAAUUCCAAAUUCCAAGUUUUAAUAAAUUAUAGUAGUAGUUAGAAGUAAAGUACUGGAGUUUCUCUUUCCCAUCACCGGACCAUCACAAAAUUGGUGUCAGAAGUGGGAUCGUAAUAGUGCGGUUGGAAAAUUUAUUUCAAAUUCAAUUUGAAAUUUCAAUCAGCAAGUUUGGGAAACUUCGAUUUGGGCUAUCGUCCAUCAUCCAGUGGUGCAACAUCCAGGUCUUCAAGGUUCGUGUAUUCGUGCUACCUGCUGCAUCGUCGCUACCAUAGGUGACAAACGGCGAUAUUCAACCCCAGACGUGAAGGUUUUCGAAAAUCGUGUGGUCCAGUGUAACAUAAUGGGAUUCCAGCAGUUAUCUUCCCUUGUGCAACUCAUUCUGUCUAUCAGCUUAUUAGCAACACUUGAAUACGCACAAAUCACCGAUCAACAACAGUACACCGUAACACCGAUUAACCAUUUCUCUGGUAUAUAUUUUGAACACAUAAAUAAUGUGAAAUUUCAAGAGACACAUUGGCAAAUAGUAUCCUACCUCGAUAUAAGUUCAUUAGAAGAUAAGUUAUCGUUCAUUGAUCAUGCUUAUAAUCAAACUUUGCAUCUUUGCCAAAGUAAUCAACAUUCAUUAAUGGCGUUAUGUCAAUCAUCGUUAAAACUAUUAAAACAUAUAGUACCUUAUUUGCAUAAAUCAGAAGUAGAUCUCAAAAAUCUUAUUAAUAAUAAGAGAACUAAACGCGCUUGGUUAAAUAUCGUUGGCGAUGCUCUAAAAACUGCUUUUGGUACACUUGAUGAAGCAGAUGCUAAAUAUUAUAAUGGAAUUAUAAAUCAGAUAAACAAAAACGAAUAUAAUUUAGGCAAACUUUUAAAACAACAAAUAAUGGUAGUAAAUUCGACAAUAGCGAACUUUAACAAUACCAUCACAGAUUUGAAUAAGAACUCCAAAAUUUUUGAAGAAAAUCUUAUACAAAUAAGUAACUAUUCCCGUAAAAUAAACAAUAGGUAUCUUGCAUUAGAAUUAAAACAAAAUUUAGACGAACACUUUUCUUUAUUAAAUCUAGUUAUUACAACAUUACAAAACGAAAUAACGACCGUUAUGGACACGAUUUUACUUUCUAGAUCAAACAUUUUACACCCUUAUGUCAUAACACCAUUUCAAUUGAUCGAAGAAUUGAGUAAAACAAUUCCACAUUUACCUAGUUCAUCUACGUAUCCUUUACCAGUUAGCCGCGAAAAUGCACACAAAUAUUUAGAAUUACUCACAAUCAAAUGUUUCUUCACCGACAACAGAAUUGGCUAUGUUCUAUCAAUACCUCUUGUAAAUCGAAAUCAAUUUAAUC